GAUGAACGCUGGCGGCGUGCCUAAUACAUGCAAGUCGAGCGAACAGACGAGGAGCUUGCUCCUCUGACGUUAGCGGCGGACGGGUGAGUAACACGUGGAUAACCUACCUAUAAGACUGGGAUAACUUCGGGAAACCGGAGCUAAUACCGGAUAAUAUAUUGAACCGCAUGGUUCAAUAGUGAAAGACGGUUUUGCUGUCACUUAUAGAUGGAUCCGCGCCGCAUUAGCUAGUUGGUAAGGUAACGGCUUACCAAGGCAACGAUGCGUAGCCGACCUGAGAGGGUGGUCGGCCACACUGGACCUGAGACACGGUCCAGACUCCUACGGGAGGCAGCAGUAGGGAAUCUUCCGCAAUGGGCGAAAGCCUGACGGAGCAACGCCGCGUGAGUGAUGAAGGUCUUCGGAUCGUAAAACUCUGUUAUUAGGGAAGAACAAAUGUGUAAGUAACUAUGCACGUCUUGACGGUACCUAAUCAGAAAGCCACGGCUAACUACGUG
This 497-nucleotide ribosomal RNA is filed under the name uncultured bacterium. RNAcentral describes it as "partial 16S ribosomal RNA". It matches the Rfam family "Bacterial small subunit ribosomal RNA", at positions 28 to 507 of the family's 1533-position model. The record is from RNAcentral.